Molecule: ribosomal RNA, 460 nt
Filed under: uncultured bacterium
Lineage: Bacteria
Description: partial 16S ribosomal RNA
Rfam family: Bacterial small subunit ribosomal RNA
Source: RNAcentral
CCUACGGGAGGCAGCAGUGAGGAAUAUUGGUCAAUGGACGAGAGUCUGAACCAGCCAAGUAGCGUGAAGGAUGACUGCCCUAUGGGUUGUAAACUUCUUUUAUAAAGGAAUAAAAAGAGGCAAGUGUGCCUGUUUGCAUGUACUUUAUGAAUAAGGAUCGGCUAAGUCCGUGCCAGCAGCCGCGGUAAUACGGAGGAUCCGAGCGUUUUCCGGGUUUAUUGGGUUUAAAGGGAGCGUAGAUGGGUUGUUAAGUCAGUUGUGAAAGUUUGCGGCUCAACCGUAAAAUUGCAAUUGAUACUGGCAGUCUUGAGUACAGUUGAGGUAGGCGGAAUUCGUGGUGUAGCGGUGAAAUGCUUAGAUAUCACGAAGAACCCCGAUUGCGAAGGCAGCUUACUAAACUGUGACUGACAUUGAUGCUCGAAAGUGUGGGUAUCAAACAGGAUUAGAUACCCGUGUAGUC